UUUUUGGUUUGAAGUCGUUUAAAAACGUACUUAAAAGGCUAAUUAAUAUACAUGAAGUAUGUAAGUUAAUUUCGGAAUUAAUUCUUUUAGUUCAGUAUAAUUGCUCUGUAUAUAAAGGACGUUUGUUGAUCUAAAUAGUUAGGCUGUGUAGUUUUUUCGACGCAUAUUCAUCAUGAAAUUCACUUUAAUUCUAUGUUUUGUUUUAGCCGUCAUUGCUUCAGCAAACGGCCAAAACACACGGUUUCCAUUCUGGAACAUAAUAUUCAGAACCCGAAGCACUACUCCGAGCUCCAGCACUGUUAUCCAGUCUAGUACCAGUUUCACACCCGAAGCCUUCAGUACCAGCCCCUAGAAACAAAAUAGACUUUUGCAUCAGGAACACAACUUAAUCAAGAAUUUUGCUGUACAACAUUUUCGGAAAUAUAAAAAAAACUUUCGUCUUUCAUCAUAAUGGAGGCCACUGCCUCUACUCACUCGCCAAUCGUUUGUACUAUUACUAUUCUCACAUUAUGUCUUUUGACGGCAUGGGUUCGUACUAUCAUACUACCUUUUCUGGACCGCUUUUUUUUCCUUCAAUAAAAUCGAUAAUUUCAUUUUACUACGGGUUUUACCAAGCGCUUAACAUAAGGUGGACCUUGUCUGCCCGUCUAGGACAUAAGCCAAAUUCUAUUAACGACUCGUGUUGUUUGUAUGUAAAAUAAAAUCAUUGCCAACUGA
Bombyx mori (domestic silkworm) is the source of this 717-nucleotide long non-coding RNA. RefSeq lists it as uncharacterized. The record is from RefSeq and is a predicted model, not a curated record. The transcript is spliced from 2 exons. Lineage: Eukaryota; Metazoa; Arthropoda; Insecta; Lepidoptera; Bombycidae.